Molecule: ribosomal RNA, 413 nt
Filed under: Cotesia electrae
Lineage: Eukaryota; Metazoa; Arthropoda; Insecta; Hymenoptera; Braconidae
Description: partial 16S ribosomal RNA
Source: RNAcentral
GUCUUAUUGAAAAUAAUUUUAAGUCUAAUCUGCUCAAUGAAUAAAUUUUAAAUAGCUGCAGUAUAAAUAACUGUACAAAGGUAGCAUAAUAAUUUGUUUUUUAAUUGAAAACUAGAAUGAAUGAUUUAAUGAAAUAUAAACUGUAUCAAAUUUAAAUAAUAAAUUUAUUAUUUAAAUAAAAAAAUUUAAAUAAAUUUUAAAGACGAGAAGACCCUAUAGAAUUUUAAUAAUAAUUUAAUUUAAUUAAAAUUAAAUUAUUAUAUUAAUUGGGGAAAUUUUAAAAUUUUAAAAAUUUUUAAUUAAAAAAAACAUAAAUUUUUGAAUAUUUAUUAUUUUUUAAAAAAAUAAAUUAAAUUACCUUAGGGAUAACAGCAUAAUUUUUUUAAAANGUUCAAAUUUAUAAAAAAGUUUAU